This 70-nucleotide transfer RNA is filed under the name Anoplophora horsfieldii. RNAcentral's name for it is "Anoplophora horsfieldi tRNA-Val". Lineage: Eukaryota; Metazoa; Arthropoda; Insecta; Coleoptera; Cerambycidae. The record is from RNAcentral.
CAAGUUAGAGCUUGAUAUUAAGCAUUUUAUUUACAUUAAAAAGUUAAUUGUGAAAUUCAAUUUAAUUUGA